AACGAACGCUGGCGGCGUGGAUAAGACAUGCAAGUCGAACGGUUUUCAGGUGUAGCAAUACAUCUGAAAGACAGUGGCGAACGGGUGCGUAACACGUGAACAAUCUACCUUCAAAUGGGGAAUAGCUCGCCGAAAGGCGAAUUAAUACCGCAUACGGUUGCCUCUCGCAUGAGAGACAUACCAAAGUCAGGGACCGCAAGGCCUGACGUUAGAAGAGGAGUUCGCGGCCUAUCAGCUAGUUGGCGAGGUAACGGCUCACCAAGGCUAAGACGGGUAGCUGGUCUGAGAGGAUGAUCAGCCACAC
RNAcentral lists this ribosomal RNA (304 nucleotides) under uncultured bacterium. RNAcentral describes it as "bacterial SSU rRNA". It matches the Rfam family "Bacterial small subunit ribosomal RNA", at positions 29 to 313 of the family's 1533-position model. The record is from RNAcentral.